This is a long non-coding RNA of Cyprinus carpio carpio, 1606 nucleotides long. The record is from Ensembl. NCBI's taxonomy places the organism in Eukaryota, Metazoa, Chordata, Actinopteri, Cypriniformes, Cyprinidae.
UUUUCGAAUGUAUCCUGCUCUGUCGCUGUCAGUGUUUUUCACUGCGUGAGAACAUGAUGUGUGGUAUGAGAGCACCAUGGCUUGACGGACGUAGCAACAGUAACUAAGGGGGGGGGGGUCUUUGUGAAGGAUCAGUUUCAUUGUAAUAUGCUUGAACUGCUCUGUCGUGCCGAUAAUGUAGUAAGUAUGGAGGGAAGAGAUGUUGAAUAUUUGAUCGCCAACAAAUUUACAAAGCUCCCUUUUGAGCAGCAGAUAAAAAUAAAAACUGAAGGACGACCCACGCCGAAGCUGGAAAUAAAACAGUCUUAAUUGUUGACGGCUGAACGCGCUGUUUUAGAACAGAAUUAUUAUUAUUUUGCAAAGCGUUAGCCAGUGGCUAAUGUUAAUAGAUGAUAAAUACGCCUUGAAGAAUCGAAGGAGAUGGGUGUAUUCUACCACAGAGUCAUAGACACCUUCGCUGCUAAAAAGGACAGGAGGAUGGAUUCAUUCUUCAAGUAACAGAUGUUAACUGAUGGACUGGAGUGCUGUGGAUUACUUGUGGAUUAUUGUGAUGUUUUUAUCAGCUGUUUGGACUCUCAUUCUGACGGCACCCAUUCACUGCAGAGCAUCCAUUGAUGAGACACUGAUGCAGUGCUGCAUUUCUACAAACCUGAUGAAGAAACACACUCAUCCUGAUCGCAGAUGAACUGAGGGUGAGCACACAGCUAAUGCUCAUUUUUGGGUGAAAAAUUCCUUGAACGAUCACAUGCAUUCACAAACUUUCUAAGAAAAGCUAAAUUGAGUUUUCUUUCUAAAAUGAUGCUGUAAAACUGAUUGCAUCAUUAGUGUUGUAUUAUAUACACACAGAGAUAACAGUUUGCAAUGCUGUCAACACACUUCUUCUCUCGGUUCACCUGGAGAUGAAAAAAAAAAAAGUUUAAAAUCAAAACAUACACCGCAUUUUAAUGACUUUGCAGGCCAAACAAUUUAUUCAUCUAUCAUGCAACCUAUUUACAUUUCCCAGAUACCACCUGUCCAGAGCACCAAACACACUUUAACCCAUUACAGCUGGCCAUAAACAGUGAGAAACAAGAGCUGACAAGAUCCCCCCCAACAAAGUCAUGUGUUUACAAUCACGCCCAAACAUAAGCAUGAUAAAGCUGAAACCUGAGGAAAAAUUCAGCCAUGAAUAGGUCAGGUGCACUUCUUAAAUAUUUUCCUCAAGAUACGAAAGCUUGCAUAACUUGGACACAUCAACUAAUUUCACUUAAAUGAGCAGAUAAAACACAGCACAGAACAUUUCAAUAUAUACAGGACAGGAGAGCAACAGACUACACAUUUACUACUGUAGGAUUCCAAAUGAACAUUACAGAGAGGUUCAUGUUUACUGGCAGACGGAAAAUGGAGAGACGCAGAGAUGUCCCUGUAAAAUUGCACAGUCCUGUGGUAAGAAAUGUUCAAGUCAUCUCUACACUUACACUGUUGUUAAAAUGGCCAAAAAAAAAAAGAAAAAAAAAGAAAAGAAGAGAAGAGAAAAGAAAAGAAAAAGCGAAUUCUAUCACAGAAUUGUUUUAAAUAAUAGUUCACUCAAAAAUAAAAAUAAAAAUUGCUGUAAAUCUGCUCACCC